ACGAACGCUGGCGGCGUGCUUAACACAUGCAAGUCGAACGGAAAGGCCCUGCUUUUGUGGGGUGCUCGAGUGGCGAACGGGUGAGUAACACGUUAGUAACCUGCCCUUGACUUUGGGAUAACUUCAGGAAACUGGGGCUAAUACCGGAUAGGAGCUCCUGCUGCAUGGUGGGGGUUGGAAAGUUUCGGCGGUUGGGGAUGGACUCGCGGCUUAUCAGCUUGUUGGUGGGGUAGUGGCUUACCAAGGCUUUGACGGGUAGCCGGCCUGAGAGGGUGACCGGCCACAUUGGGACUGAGAUACGGCCCAGACUCCUACGGGAGGCAGCAGUGGGGAAUAAUGCACAAUGGGCGGAAGCCUGAUGCAGCAACGCCGCGUGCGGGAUGACGGCCUUCGGGUUGUAAACCGCUUUCGCCUGUGACGAAGCGUGAGUGACGGUAAUGGGUAAAGAAGCACCGGCUAACUACGUG
Molecule: ribosomal RNA, 467 nt
Filed under: uncultured bacterium
Lineage: Bacteria
Description: partial 16S ribosomal RNA
Rfam family: Bacterial small subunit ribosomal RNA
Source: RNAcentral